This 497-nucleotide ribosomal RNA is filed under the name uncultured bacterium. RNAcentral's name for it is "partial 16S ribosomal RNA". It matches the Rfam family "Bacterial small subunit ribosomal RNA", at positions 28 to 507 of the family's 1533-position model. The record is from RNAcentral.
GAUGAACGCUGGCGGCGUGCCUAAUACAUGCAAGUCGAGCGAACAGACGAGGAGCUUGCUCCUCUGACGUUAGCGGCGGACGGGUGAGUAACACGUGGAUAACCUACCUAUAAGACUGGGAUAACUUCGGGAAACCGGAGCUAAUACCGGAUAAUAUCUUGAACCGCAUGGUUCAAUAGUGAAAGACGGUUUUGCUGUCACUUAUAGAUGGAUCCGCGCCGCAUUAGCUAGUUGGUAAGGUAACUGCUUACCAAGGCGACGAUGCGUAGCCGACCUGAGAGGGUGAUCGGCCACACUGGAACUGAGACACGGUCCAGACUCCUACGGGAGGCAGCAGUAGGGAAUCUUCCGCAAUGGGCGAAAGCCUGACGGAGCAACGCCGCGUGAGUGAUGAAGGUCUUCGGAUCGUAAAACUCUGUUAUUAGGGAAGAACAAAUGUGUAAGUAACUAUGCACGUCUUGACGGUACCUAAUCAGAAAGCCACGGCUAACUACGUG